GUGAGGAAUUUUGCGCAAUGGCCGCAAGGCUGACGCAGCAACGCCGCGUGGGUGAUGAAGGCCUUCGGGUCGUAAAGCCCUGUCAGGUGGGAAGAAAGGCCUGGAGAGGAAAUGUUUCAGGUUUGACGGUACCACCAGAGGAAGCACCGGCUAACUCCGUGCCAGCAGCCGCGGUAAUACGGAGGGUGCGAGCGUUAUUCGGAAUUACUGGGCGUAAAGCGCGUGUAGGCGGGGGGACAAGUCUGAUGUGAAAGCCCUGGGCUUAACCUGGGAAGUGCAUUGGAAACUGUUUUUCUUGAGUACUGGAGAGGAAGGGGGAAUUCCCGGUGUAGAGGUGAAAUUCGUAGAGAUCGGGAGGAAUACCAGUGGCGUAGGCGCCCUUCUGGACGGUAACUGACGCUGAGACGCGAAAGCGUGGGGAGCAAACAGGAUUAGAAACCCGUGUAGUCC
This 450-nucleotide ribosomal RNA is filed under the name uncultured bacterium. RNAcentral's name for it is "partial 16S ribosomal RNA". It matches the Rfam family "Bacterial small subunit ribosomal RNA", at positions 354 to 796 of the family's 1533-position model. The record is from RNAcentral.